GAUGAACGCUGGCGGCGUGCCUAAUACAUGCAAGUCGAGCGAACAGAUAAGGAGCUUGCUCCUUCGACGUUAGCGGCGGACGGGUGAGUAACACGUGGGUAACCUACCUAUAAGACUGGGAUAACUUCGGGAAACCGGAGCUAAUACCGGAUAACAUUUGGAACCGCAUGGUUCUAAAGUGAAAGAUGGUUUUGCUAUCACUUAUAGAUGGACCCGCGCCGUAUUAGCUAGUUGGUAAGGUAACGGCUUACCAAGGCGACGAUACGUAGCCGACCUGAGAGGGUGAUCGGCCACACUGGAACUGAGACACGGUCCAGACUCCUACGGGAGGCAGCAGUAGGGAAUCUUCCGCAAUGGGCGAAAGCCUGACGGAGCAACGCCGCGUGAGUGGUGAAGGGUUUCGGCUCGUAGAACUCUGUUAUUAGGGAAGAACAAACGUGUAAGUAACUGUGCACGUCUUGACGGUACCUAAUCAGAAAGCCACGGCUAACUACGUGCCAGCAGCCGCGGUAAUACGUAGGUGGCAAGCGUUAUCCGGAAUUAUUGGGCGUAAAGCGCGCGUAGGCGGUUUCUUAAGUCUGAUGUGAAAGCCCACGGCUCAACCGUGGAGGGUCAUUGGAAACUGGGAAACUUGAGUGCAGAAGGGGAAAGUGGAAUUCCAUGUGUAGCGGUGAAAUGCGCAGAGAUAUGGAGGAACACCAGUGGCGAAGGCGACUUUCUGGUCUGUAACUGACGCUGAUGUGCGAAAGCGUGGGGAUCAAACAGGAUUAGAUACCCUGGUAGUCCACGCCGUAAACGAUGAGUGCUAAGUGUUAGGGGGUUUCCGCCCCUUAGUGCUGCAGCUAACGCAUUAAGCACUCCGCCUGGGGAGUACGACCGCAAGGUUGAAACUCAAAGGAAUUGACGGGGACCCGCACGAGCGGUGGAGCAUGUGGUUUAAUUCGAAGCAACGCGAAGAACCUUACCAAAUCUUGACAUCCUUUGAAAACUCUAGAGAUAGAGCCUUCCCCUUCGGGGGACAAAGUGACAGGUGGUGCAUGGUUGUCGUCAGCUCGUGUCGUGAGAUGUUGGGUUAAGUCCCGCAACGAGCGCAACCCUUAAGCUUAGUUGCCAUCAUUAAGUUGGGCACUCUAGGUUGACUGCCGGUGACAAACCGGAGGAAGGUGGGGAUGACGUCAAAUCAUCAUGCCCCUUAUGAUUUGGGCUACACACGUGCUACAAUGGACAAUACAAAGGGCAGCUAAACCGCGAGGUCAUGCAAAUCCCAUAAAGUUGUUCUCAGUUCGGAUUGUAGUCUGCAACUCGACUACAUGAAGCUGGAAUCGCUAGUAAUCGUAGAUCAGCAUGCUACGGUGAAUACGUUCCCGGGUCU
RNAcentral lists this ribosomal RNA (1372 nucleotides) under uncultured bacterium. Its description in RNAcentral is "bacterial SSU rRNA". It matches the Rfam family "Bacterial small subunit ribosomal RNA", at positions 28 to 1381 of the family's 1533-position model. The record is from RNAcentral.